RNAcentral lists this small nuclear RNA (104 nucleotides) under Saimiri boliviensis boliviensis (Bolivian squirrel monkey). The record is from RNAcentral. Lineage: Eukaryota; Metazoa; Chordata; Mammalia; Primates; Cebidae.
GUCCUCACUUUGAUAGUACUUAUACAAAAACUAGAAUGAUAAAGACAUUAACAUGUCUCCUGUGCAAGGAUGACACACAAAUUUGUGAAAUGUUUCAUAUUUUU